RNAcentral lists this ribosomal RNA (253 nucleotides) under uncultured bacterium. Its description in RNAcentral is "partial 16S ribosomal RNA". It matches the Rfam family "Bacterial small subunit ribosomal RNA", at positions 524 to 776 of the family's 1533-position model. The record is from RNAcentral.
UACAGAGGGUGCAAGCGUUGUUCGGAAUCAUUGGGCGUAAAGGGCGUGUAGGCGGUCUGUUAAGUCAUGUGUGAAAUCCCUCGGCUCAACCGGGGAACGACGCAUGAAACUGACAAGCUAGAGUACCAAAGAGGGGGGUGGAAUUCCCGGUGUAGCGGUGAAAUGCGCAGAUAUCAGGAGGAACACCGGUGGCGAAGGCGGGUAUCUGGGCCGAUACUGACGCUGAGGAGCGAAAGCGUGGGGAGCGAACAGG